Molecule: ribosomal RNA, 775 nt
Filed under: uncultured bacterium
Lineage: Bacteria
Description: bacterial SSU rRNA
Rfam family: Bacterial small subunit ribosomal RNA
Source: RNAcentral
GACGAACGCUGGCGGCGUGCCUAAUACAUGCAAGUCGAACGCUUUGAUUUUCACCGGAGCUUGCUCCACCGAAAAUCAAAGAGUGGCGGACGGGUGAGUAACACGUGGGCAACCUGCCCAACAGAGGGGGAUAACACUUGGAAACAGGUGCUAAUACCGCAUAAUUUGUUUUUCCGCAUGGAAGAAUAAUAAAAGACGCUUCGGUGUCACUGUUGGAUGGGCCCGCGCUGCAUUAGUUAGUUGGUGGGGUAACGGCCUACCAAGACCAUGAUGCAUAGCCGACCUGAGAGGGUGAUCGGCCACACUGGGACUGAGACACGGCCCAGACUCCUACGGGAGGCAGCAGUAGGGAAUCUUCGGCAAUGGACGAAAGUCUGACCGAGCAACGCCGCGUGAGUGAAGAAGGUUUUCGGAUCGUAAAACUCUGUUGUUAGAGAAGAACAAGUGAGAGAGUUACUGUUCUCACCUUGACGGUAUCUAACCAGAAAGCCACGGCUAACUACGUGCCAGCAGCCGCGGUAAUACGUAGGUGGCAAGCGUUGUCCGGAUUUAUUGGGCGUAAAGCGAGCGCAGGCGGUUUCUUAAGUCUGAUGUGAAAGCCCUCGGCUCAACCGAGGAAGGUCAUUGGAAACUGGGGAACUUGAGUGCAGAAGAGGAGAGUGGAAUUCCAUGUGUAGCGGUGAAAUGCGUAGAUAUAUGGAGGAACACCAGUGGCGAGGGCGACUCUCUGGUCUGUAACUGACGCUGAGGCUCGAAAGCGCGGGGAGCAAACAGG